RNAcentral lists this ribosomal RNA (1989 nucleotides) under human gut metagenome. Its description in RNAcentral is "bacterial LSU rRNA". It matches the Rfam family "Bacterial large subunit ribosomal RNA", at positions 1 to 1987 of the family's 2925-position model. The record is from RNAcentral.
UUAAGAUAGUAAGAGCAUACGGUGGAUGCCUUGGCGAUAUCUGCCGAUGAAGGACGCGACAAGCUGCGAAAAGCUGCGGUGAGGUGCAAAUGACCUUUGACCCGCAGAUGUCCGAAUGGAGCAAUCCGGCUGUGGUUAUGCACAGUCACCCAUGCCUAUGAGUAUGGGAGGGAACCAGGCGAACUGAAACAUCUAAGUAGCCUGAGGAGAAGUAAUCAAACGAGAUACCCCCAGUAGCGGCGAGCGAACGGGGCAGAAGCCCAAACCGCAGAAGGAAACUUUUACGGGGUUGAGGGCCGUCAUACGAACGUGGAAUCCAGCUGAAGCUUCUGGGAAGGAGCGCCGCAGGAUGUGAAAGCCAUGUAAGCGAAAGAGGAAGCGGAACAGACGGUACCAGAGUACCGCGGGACACGAGAAACCCCGUGGGAAGCCGGGGGGACCACCCUCCAAGGCAAAACACAGAUAUCGACCGAUAGCGCAUAGUACCAUGAGGGAAAGGUGAAAAGCACCCCGGGAGGGGAAUGAAACAGAACCUGAAACCGUAUGUUUACAAGCAGUCGGAGACCGUAUAUAUAUCAGGUCGACGGCGUGCCUAUUGAAGAAUGAACCGGCGAGUUAUGAGGUCCAGCGAGGUUAAGCAGGAAAUGCGGAGCCGAAGCGAAAGCGAGUCUUAACAGGGCGAAUAGUUGGACUGCAUAGACCCGAAACCACAGUGAUCUACCCAUGUCCAGGUUGAAGCACAGGUAAAAAUGUGUGGAGGACCGAACCUAUAUCCGUUGAAAAGGGUUAGGAUGAGGUGUGGGUAGGGGUGAAAUUCCAAUCGAACGUGGAGAUAGCUGGUUCUCCCCGAAAUAGCUUUAGGGCUAGCCUCAGGGUAAAGAUUGCAGGCGGUAGAGCACUGAUCAGGAGAGGGACCUACCCGGUUACCAAACCCAGUCAAACUACGAAUGGCUGCAAUUAUACCUGGGAGUCAGACUACGACUUAUAAGGGCCGUGGUCAAAAGGGAAACAGCCCAGAUCAUCAGCUAAGGUCCCAAAUGCCGUGCUAAGUGGCGAAGGAUGUGGCGUUUCAUAAACAACCAGGAUGUUGGCUCAGAAGCAGCCACCAUUUAAAGAGUGCGUAAUAGCUCACUGGUCGAGAGACGCUGCGCCGAAAAUGUCCGGGGCUCAAGCACGGAACCGAAGCUAUGGCAUUGCGCAAGCAAUGGGUAGGGGAGCGUUCUUAUGGGGAAGAAGCAUUACCGUAAGGAGAUGUGGACACAUAAGAAGUGAGAAUGCCGGUAUGAGUAUCGAAAAGAAAGGUGAGAAUCCUUUCCACCGAAAGCCCGAGGGUUCCUGAGCAACGAUCGUCGUCUCAGGGUAAGUCGGGACCUAAGCCGAGGCACAGACGCAUAGGCGAUGGACAACAGGUUGAAAUUCCUGUACCGGAUGGAGUCAUUUGAGCAAUGGAGUGACGCAGGAGGGCACAUGAUCGCGCGACUGGAAGAGCGCGUCCAAGUGCGUAUGUUGAAUCGGAGGCAAAUCCCCGAUUCUGAAAGCAGAGACAUGAUGGGGAGUUAUAAGCGAUUAUGACGAACUCAUGGAUCCCACACUGCCAAGAAAAACUUCUAGCGAGACGAAAUCCGCCCGUACCGUAAACCGACACAGGUAGGCGGGGAGAGAAUCCUAAGGUGCGCGGGAAAACCCUCGUUAAGGAACUCGGCAAAUUGCAUCCGUAACUUCGGGAGAAGGAUGGCCCUGAGUAGGCGAAGUGCAGAAACGCACGGAACAGAAAAGGGUGGCAGAAAAGAGGCCCAAGCAACUGUUUACCAAAAACACAGGUGCCUGCGAAAGCGAAAGCUGAAGUAUAGGUGCUGACGCCUGCCCGGUGCUGGAAGGUUAAGGAGAGAGGUUAGCGCAAGCGAAGCUUUGAACUGAAGCCCCAGUGAACGGCGGCCGUAACUAUAACGGUCCUAAGGUAGCGAAAUUCCUUGUCGGGUAAGUUCCGAC